Molecule: ribosomal RNA, 2905 nt
Filed under: Enterobacter hormaechei subsp. xiangfangensis
Lineage: Bacteria; Pseudomonadati; Pseudomonadota; Gammaproteobacteria; Enterobacterales; Enterobacteriaceae
Description: 23S ribosomal RNA
Rfam family: Bacterial large subunit ribosomal RNA
Source: RNAcentral
GGUUAAGCGACUAAGCGUACACGGUGGAUGCCCUGGCAGUCAGAGGCGAUGAAGGACGUGCUAAUCUGCGAAAAGCGCCGGCGAGGUGAUAUGAACCCUUGACCCGGCGAUGUCCGAAUGGGGAAACCCAGUGCAAUCCGUUGCACUAUCGUUAACUGAAUACAUAGGUUAACGAGGCGAACCGGGGGAACUGAAACAUCUAAGUACCCCGAGGAAAAGAAAUCAACCGAGAUUCCCCCAGUAGCGGCGAGCGAACGGGGAGCAGCCCGGAGUCUGAAUCAGCUUGUGUGUUAGUGGAACGGUCUGGAAAGUCCGACGGUACAGGGUGAUAGUCCCGUACACGAAAGCACACUUGCUGUGAACUCGAAGAGUAGGGCGGGACACGUGGUAUCCUGUCUGAAUAUGGGGGGACCAUCCUCCAAGGCUAAAUACUCCUGACUGACCGAUAGUGAACCAGUACCGUGAGGGAAAGGCGAAAAGAACCCCGGCGAGGGGAGUGAAAAAGAACCUGAAACCGUGUACGUACAAGCAGUGGGAGCCUCUUUAUGGGGUGACUGCGUACCUUUUGUAUAAUGGGUCAGCGACUUAUAUUCUGUAGCAAGGUUAACCGUAUAGGGGAGCCGCAGGGAAACCGAGUCUUAACUGGGCGUUAAGUUGCAGGGUAUAGACCCGAAACCCGGUGAUCUAGCCAUGGGCAGGUUGAAGGUUGGGUAACACUAACUGGAGGACCGAACCGACUAAUGUUGAAAAAUUAGCGGAUGACUUGUGGCUGGGGGUGAAAGGCCAAUCAAACCGGGAGAUAGCUGGUUCUCCCCGAAAGCUAUUUAGGUAGCGCCUCGUGAACUCAUCUUCGGGGGUAGAGCACUGUUUCGGCUAGGGGGUCAUCCCGACUUACCAACCCGAUGCAAACUACGAAUACCGAAGAAUGUUAUCACGGGAGACACACGGCGGGUGCUAACGUCCGUCGUGAAGAGGGAAACAACCCAGACCGCCAGCUAAGGUCCCAAAGUCAUGGUUAAGUGGGAAACGAUGUGGGAAGGCACAGACAGCCAGGAUGUUGGCUUAGAAGCAGCCAUCAUUUAAAGAAAGCGUAAUAGCUCACUGGUCGAGUCGGCCUGCGCGGAAGAUGUAACGGGGCUAAACCAUGCACCGAAGCUGCGGCAGCGACACUAUGUGUUGUUGGGUAGGGGAGCGUUCUGUAAGCCGUUGAAGGUGUGCUGUGAGGCAUGCUGGAGGUAUCAGAAGUGCGAAUGCUGACAUAAGUAACGAUAAAGCGGGUGAAAAGCCCGCUCGCCGGAAGACCAAGGGUUCCUGUCCAACGUUAAUCGGGGCAGGGUGAGUCGACCCCUAAGGCGAGGCCGAAAGGCGUAGUCGAUGGGAAACAGGUUAAUAUUCCUGUACUUGGUGUUACUGCGAAGGGGGGACGGAGAAGGCUAUGUCAGCCGGGCGACGGUUGUCCCGGUUUAAGCAUGUAGGCGGAGGUUCCAGGUAAAUCCGGUACCUUAUUAACGCUGAGGUGUGAUGACGAGGCACUACGGUGCUGAAGUGAUAAAUGCCCUGCUUCCAGGAAAAGCCUCUAAGCAUCAGGUAACACGAAAUCGUACCCCAAACCGACACAGGUGGUCAGGUAGAGAAUACCAAGGCGCUUGAGAGAACUCGGGUGAAGGAACUAGGCAAAAUGGUGCCGUAACUUCGGGAGAAGGCACGCUGAUGUGUAGGUGAAGCCCCUGCGGGCGGAGCUGAAAUCAGUCGAAGAUACCAGCUGGCUGCAACUGUUUAUUAAAAACACAGCACUGUGCAAACACGAAAGUGGACGUAUACGGUGUGACGCCUGCCCGGUGCCGGAAGGUUAAUUGAUGGGGUUAGCGGCAACGAGAAGCUCUUGAUCGAAGCCCCGGUAAACGGCGGCCGUAACUAUAACGGUCCUAAGGUAGCGAAAUUCCUUGUCGGGUAAGUUCCGACCUGCACGAAUGGCGUAAUGAUGGCCAGGCUGUCUCCACCCGAGACUCAGUGAAAUUGAACUCGCUGUGAAGAUGCAGUGUACCCGCGGCAAGACGGAAAGACCCCGUGAACCUUUACUAUAGCUUGACACUGAACAUUGAGCCUUGAUGUGUAGGAUAGGUGGGAGGCUUUGAAGCGUGGACGCCAGUCUGCGUGGAGCCAACCUUGAAAUACCACCCUUUAAUGUUUGAUGUUCUAACGUUGGCCCCUGACCGGGGUUGCGGACAGUGUCUGGUGGGUAGUUUGACUGGGGCGGUCUCCUCCCAAAGCGUAACGGAGGAGCACGAAGGUUAGCUAAUCCUGGUCGGACAUCAGGAGGUUAGUGCAAUGGCAUAAGCUAGCUUGACUGCGAGCGUGACGGCGCGAGCAGGUGCGAAAGCAGGUCAUAGUGAUCCGGUGGUUCUGAAUGGAAGGGCCAUCGCUCAACGGAUAAAAGGUACUCCGGGGAUAACAGGCUGAUACCGCCCAAGAGUUCAUAUCGACGGCGGUGUUUGGCACCUCGAUGUCGGCUCAUCACAUCCUGGGGCUGAAGUAGGUCCCAAGGGUAUGGCUGUUCGCCAUUUAAAGUGGUACGCGAGCUGGGUUUAGAACGUCGUGAGACAGUUCGGUCCCUAUCUGCCGUGGGCGCUGGAGAAUUGAGGGGGGCUGCUCCUAGUACGAGAGGACCGGAGUGGACGCAUCACUGGUGUUCGGGUUGUCAUGCCAAUGGCACUGCCCGGUAGCUAAAUGCGGAAGAGAUAAGUGCUGAAAGCAUCUAAGCACGAAACUUGCCCCGAGAUGAGUUCUCCCUGAGACUUUAAGUCUCCUGAAGGAACGUUGAAGACGACGACGUUGAUAGGUCGGGUGUGUAAGCGCAGCGAUGCGUUGAGCUAACCGAUACUAAUGAACCGUGAGGCUUAACCUU